GAUGAACGCUGGCGGCGUGCUUAACACAUGCAAGUCGAGCGAAGCUCCGUUCUGAUUUCUUCGGAUUGAAGGACGGAUGACUUAGCGGCGGACGGGUGAGUAACGCGUGGGUAACCUGCCUCAUACAGGGGAAUAACAGUUAGAAAUGACUGCUAAAGCCGCAUAAGCGCACAUUGCCGCAUGGCAGAGUGUGAAAAACUCCGGUGGUAUGAGAUGGACCCGCGUCUGAUUAGCCAGUUGGUGAGGUAACGGCCCACCAAAGCGACGAUCAGUAGCCGACUUGAGAGAGUGAUCGGCCACAUUGGGACUGAGACACGGCCCAGACUCCUACGGGAGGCAGCAGUGGGGAAUAUUGCACAAUGGGGGAAACCCUGAUGCAGCAACGCCGCGUGAGUGAAGAAGUAUUUCGGUAUGUAAAGCUCUAUCAGCAGGGAAGAAAAUGACGGUACCUGACUAAGAAGCCCCGGCUAACUACGUGCCAGCAGCCGCGGUAAUACGUAGGGGGCAAGCGUUAUCCGGAUUUACUGGGUGUAAAGGGAGCGCAGGCGGUAAUGCAAGUCAGAAGUGAAAGCCCGCGGCUUAACCGCGGGACUGCUUUUGAAACUGUAUAACUAGAUUGCAGGAGGGGUAAGCGGAAUUCCUGGUGUAGCGGUGAAAUGCGUAGAUAUCAGGAAGAACACCGGUGGCGAAGGCGGCUUACUGGACUGUAAAUGACGCUCAUGCUCGAAGGCGUGGGGAGCAAACAGGAUUAGAUACCCUGGUAGUCCACGCAGUAAACGACGAAUACUAGAUGUCGGGGCCCGAAGGGCUUCGGUGUCGCAGCAAACGCAAUAAGU
RNAcentral lists this ribosomal RNA (836 nucleotides) under uncultured bacterium. RNAcentral describes it as "bacterial SSU rRNA". It matches the Rfam family "Bacterial small subunit ribosomal RNA", at positions 28 to 865 of the family's 1533-position model. The record is from RNAcentral.